AGUGAACGCUGGCGGUAGGCCUAACACAUGCAAGUCGAACGGAAGCACAGUAAGAGCGUGCCCUUACGGGUGGCGAGUGACGGACGGGUGAGGAAUACAUCGGAUUCUACUAAUUCGUGGGGGAUAACGUAGGGCAACAUACGCUAAUACCGAAUAUGGCGAACGGGUGAAAGCAAUAGUUCUUCGCACCUUGGCCGUCUGAUAGAGACGAUGCCGGAUUAGCUAGUUGGCAGGGUAAGGGCCCACCAAGGCGACGAUACGUAGCGGGUCUGAGAGGAUGAUCAGCCACACUGGAACUGAGACACGGUCCAGACUCCUACGGGAGGCAGCAGUAGGGAAUAUUCGGCAAUGGGCGAAAGCCUGAUCCAGCCAUGCCGCGUGAGUGAAGAAGGCCUUCGGGUUGUAAAGCUCUUUUAUCAGGAAAGAAAAGCUGCGUAAUUAACUCUGCCUGUUUUGACGGUACCCAAACAGAAAGCCCCGGCUAACUUCGUG
Molecule: ribosomal RNA, 492 nt
Filed under: uncultured bacterium
Lineage: Bacteria
Description: partial 16S ribosomal RNA
Rfam family: Bacterial small subunit ribosomal RNA
Source: RNAcentral